This 94-nucleotide transfer RNA is filed under the name Duganella margarita. RNAcentral describes it as "tRNA-OTHER". The record is from RNAcentral. Lineage: Bacteria; Pseudomonadati; Pseudomonadota; Betaproteobacteria; Burkholderiales; Oxalobacteraceae.
AUAAGUGUUAAGUUGCUGAUUCAAAAGAAAUACUCGUCAGACUUAAAAUCUGCCGCCGCAAGGCGUGCCGGUUCGAUUCCGGCUCGGAGCACCA